AAACCAUGAUGGGGACACUGGUUGAUGUAGCUCCUAAAUCUUUCCCAUGCUUCCCCAAAUAUCUCAUUGCUGUGUUGGGUAAAGCUUGAGAUUUGAUUCCUCAGCGU
Small nucleolar RNA from Eutrema salsugineum, 107 nucleotides. It matches the Rfam family "Plant small nucleolar RNA R71". Rfam says of the family: R71 is a member of the C/D box family of snoRNAs containing the C (UGAUGA) and D (CUGA) box motifs. The record is from Rfam. NCBI's taxonomy places the organism in Eukaryota, Viridiplantae, Streptophyta, Magnoliopsida, Brassicales, Brassicaceae.